CCUACGGGAGGCAGCAGUGGGGAAUUUUGGACAAUGGACGCAAGUCUGAUCCAGCCAUUCCGCGUGCAGGAUGAAGGCCCUCGGGUUGUAAACUGCUUUUGUACGGAACGAAAAGGUUUCCAUUAAUACUGGGAGCUCAUGACGGUACCGUAAGAAUAUGCACCGGCUAACUACGUGCCAGCAGCCGCGGUAAU
RNAcentral lists this ribosomal RNA (194 nucleotides) under uncultured bacterium. RNAcentral describes it as "partial 16S ribosomal RNA". It matches the Rfam family "Bacterial small subunit ribosomal RNA", at positions 338 to 524 of the family's 1533-position model. The record is from RNAcentral.